CAAAACGGGAGCAGGCAGCGCAGAGGAAGAAGAGGAAGUAGAGAGUGGAAGCACACUCAACCACACCCACACACACCCACACACGAGCGCGCACAAGGACAAGGUCGCUCGCUCUCUCCGUGUGUGUGUACUUCAGCUCUAACCCACCUCGUACUUGGCACAACAGAGCUCUCGUUGCCUCUCUUCCCAUGUGUCAUCAUCGCGUGCUGCAGUAAAGUACAGGUUUCAUCAGCCGAGUACCGCCGCAAAAAGAAAACUAGCAGCAGGGCGCGUCAACAUAUCUGCGCAGACGGCGUAGGCGCAGUGAGCCGAGGCCAUACCGCGCGUGCGUGUCGUUGCUUGCGUUCCUGUUCCCUGCCAGCGGCCCGCCUUCAUCAUCUCCGCCCUUCCCUUUCUCUCUCUCGGUGCACAGGUAUUUGCCCCGUGUGUGUGUGUGUGUGUGUGUCCGCCCUACUGCCUACCCGCCGCGAAUGUUCACUGAGACACAGCCGAAGGAGGUUGUGCUGCGGGACGUGCGCCACGCGCCGGCGUCCUCGGAGAAGGUCGCCGGCAUUGGAUGUGUUGCUGCAGCAGCGGUGCGCCAAGUUGAAUCGAGCGGAUUGAAGAAGGGUAGGCGCGGCGGCGGAGCCCUUCCACCGAUACACGCAAAGGCAGCGUCGACGAGCGAGACGGCCGCUGCACCACACUUGCGGAAACAGCGACCGCUGUCUGGCCGCCAAGAGCCGCAGCAGGGGCCCGAAUCGGAUGGGCAGGCCUUCCCUGUGGCGGUUCUGGCGAUAGGCGACCUGCCUGGCCGGCGCCCCUCUGCCGCUUUCAGCGUCACCGCCACUUCGAGGAGAGACGAUGAACCUCGCUCCUCUCGCAGUCCAGCGCCUCGGCGGCCCCCGUCUACAGGUCGCUCCCCAGCGCGCCACCGCAGCAUGCAAGCUUCGCCACCUCGGCAGGCACGUCAGCACAGCGCCAGCGUGAGCGACGCGAACGCCAUCUCUGCGCGGGCAGGCAGCAUUGGCAGGAUGGAGGGACGACAUCUCAGCGGUCAGGCCCCGCGACGGACGGGGCUCAAGUCAUUGAAGCUGCGGGUGGAGAGCGAAGAGGCGGCCGUCGGGCAGCUGAUGCAGGCUGGAAACAUCGGCGGAGCGCUGAUGCGGCUGAGCUGCACGCUGCAGAGCGUGCAGGACUAUCAUGCAGCGUCGAAUACUCGGAGCAGCCGACGCGGCGCUGUCGGCAGCACUGCGUCGGCGCACACCUCCGAGGCUGCACCACAACUGGGUGGCACCGGCGCCGCGUGGGCGGCUACGACAGCCCAGCGACUUGCUGAGGUCUACACCACCAUUGCAAACAAUGCUGGCGUGCAGUGCAACACAGCAGCCGAGCCGAUCCACGUGCAGGAGGCUUACUUCCAAGCCGCAAUGCGCUACGUGGUGAAGAGCUCCACAGAGGACCUGUUCUCUGAGUGGACGGCGGAGGGCGCCGCCGCGACGAGCGAGAAACCGUUGCCCCAUCCCCCGCCGCAGCAGCGACCCCGCCGCUACCCGGUAAGGUCGGCAGCGCGGCCUCCAGCGCGCGAGCUCUCAUCGUGUUUCCCGUCAAGCCGUCCGGGCAAGAGCAAGGAUGGCGACCAGCAGCAGCCGCAGCAACCCGCGAUCGUCCGUCGCCUGCUCCGCUGCGCUGUUCGCACUAAUGCUGCUGUGUGCCUCGGCGACAGUGCCACGCCGGGGGGACAGGCCCGCAUUAUCUAUGAACUACUGAAAGCGCUGGCGGAGUCAGUGGGCGUGUGGAGCAUGGCGUUGCUGUACAACUUGGCGGUGGCAUUUCUUCGGGUCGGCAGCUAUGACGAAGCCGCAGAGGCGAUUGCGCGGUUCAUGGAGGUGAGCUGGCACUACCUUGAGUGGGCUGAGCACUUGCAGGGCACUGACGACGGCGGCAGCGUUGCUAGCGUUGCCGCGGCUGUGCACACGCACGCGGCGCUACAGCUAAUCCACGGGCACCACUUCAUCGCUGCAAUGGCGGCCUGGUGUGAGCCGCACGGCCCUAUGGAGGUGUACCACUGCGAACUUGCCAGCGCCUGUGCAGAGCACUAUCUGAGCCGUUCCGAUAGGGCUCAGUGGAGGUGCCAGCGCCGUCUCGCCGCAGCUCAGGCGAGGGCCACUACGGGCGUCGGCACCACAGAGACACACACGAUGACCGCUGCGGAUGGACUUCCAUCGCCGCUGAUGCUGCCGUAUGUGACACAGGACCUGAUUCUCUCUUGCCCCUCAUCCACAACGGCAGCGGUGACGGGUGAUGUCGGGCCCAUCACUGUCACGAUGCACCUGCUCGUUGAGGCACUCGUUACCUCUUCUUCGCUCAGCGCGUCGCUGCCGGCGGAGGUGAGAGCGUACGUGCGGGAGGUGCAAAAGGGUGGAUCCAUGCGGUACUGGGCACGCAUGGCUCUGCGCGCCGGUGCGUCGCCGCCGUUCUUGUCAGCGGCAGUAGCCGCCUCAACUGCCACACCGGUGCCGCCGGUCCUGACGGCGCUUCUGAGCCACGGCGAAGAGGGCGAGUGUGUGUGGGCACGGCAGUCCUGGCUGCAAUCGCUGGCUCGCAGGGGCGUUGAGAACGACGCCUCUAACCCACUAUGGCGACUGACGUCCGCCGCAAUAACGGCAUUGGCAAGUCGCGCCUCGGCUGUUGCUUCGUCAUCAUGUCGUGACGUCGCUCCUGGCAAGGAGGCGGAUGCCUCCACCUCCCUCAUCACAACAGCCCCACCGACGCCGCAUCAUGAGCACGGCGUUUCAUUGGGUGCGACAAGUCCUUGCAAGCUGAGCAAGCCGGCACCGCUUUUCGUCACGACGCUCCCCAAGAGCGCCUACAACCGGUACCGCAAGCUCCGCGAGGGCAUUGUCGCUCAGCUGGAGAAUGCAGAGCAGACGGAGCAGCGGGAGGCUGGUGUGUUCGAGGCAGCGGGACCACUUUCCGUGGAUGGUGACGAUGAAAGCGCGGUGCGCGCCGAAAGCGCCAACUCUCGCUCCACGGCCGCUUCAAAGAUCUUGCCGGCAGAUGCAGCGGCUGCGCAGUCACGCAGGCUACUCAUGACGGCUCUCUUCGUCGGCGCAUCGAGCACCGUCACCUCUCCGGCGGCGUCGUUGUCGCGUGAGGGCCAAGGCGGCGAUGCUACCGGUGCCUUUGGCCUCCUGGAGGAAGAGGCGACAGAGCACCACGACGCGAGGGGCGUCGUCACCGCUAUCGUGCUCGAUCCUACGCUGCUGGCUGUACCUGUCCGACCUUCGGAGCUGCUGCGGCAGCUCGACUUGGAAACGGAGGCACGCUACUCUCGUCUCGUUGCGGACCCCCUCGCAGACUUGCAGCGGGUCGCCUCAACGCGCGUGCAGGCAUGGUGGCGGAUGCAGCUCGCACGGGAGGCGCUGCGCCGGCGUGCGGCGGACGUCGAGAUGUGUCUUCGCCGCGACGCCGCGGCCGCCCUGAUUCAGACAGGUUAUCGGCACUGGAAGGAACGCACGCCUGCCAAGGCGGAGCUGCAUCGCCUGCGCGCUCAUCGAGAGCGAGUGCGCUGCGUCACCAUUCUCCAAGCCUUCGUGCAGCAACGCGCCAGUGUGGAGGUGUGGGGGCGCGUCUGCUUGGUGUGGUACCAGGCCCUCGUAGUGCAGCGGGAGAUCGAGAGGCGGCGCGCGGCUGCUACCAUCACUCUCCAGAGCUGGUGGCAGAUGCACAUGGCCCGCAGGCAGCUGCGCCACUCGGUGGCGGCCGCCAUUCGCCUUCAGUGCUUGUGGCGCUGCAAACUGGCACGGCGUGAGCUGCGCACGCGCCGCGUGCACCGCCGCCUCAUGCAGGAGCAGUGGCGAAGGGAGCGAGUGCCGCAGAUUAUUUUUGUGCAGCGUUGGUGGCGCGCCUGUUGCGCUCGCUGGGCAGUAGGCGACCUGCUCUGCCAGAGGCAGCAUGCCGUGGAGGAGUACCUGACGGCGCAGGAGUCCGAAUACGAGGCAGUCAUGCGCACGAAGCUUCGAAGUGUGGAUAACGUUGAGGCGGCCAUGCGCUGCGUGUUGGCAGUGCUGGCCGGCUCACGAGACCGCCGCCAACUCGCUCAGUUCGCUAUGCACGCACGAGUGCGGCAGCGUGCCGUGCACAGGUUUGUGCUCCUGUGGCGCGGCCGAGAAGAGUUGCAGCAGCUGCGCCGCGACCGGGCUGCGGGGCUGGCUCUGCAGAGGCGACGGGAGGAGGUCGCGGUGGCGACGGUGGCCCUGCAGUCGUGGGUGCGCUCGUGGCUACCGCACCGCCGUGCAACACGGGUGCGCGCUAACAGGGCCUACUUGCAGGCGCACGCGUUCACGAUUUGGGAUGCGUUUCGCCACUACCGUGCGCGACAAGCCCUGGUGAACGGACGAACGGAGCGCCGCAUGCUUGGCGUGGCUCGCCGUCUUGCGGAUGCGCGAAAUGACGCCGCAACGCGCAUUCAAUCCACGUGGCGCAUGCACCGCACGCAGCAGGAGCUGUUCGACCUCUUCCAGUUUAUGCUCCGGGACCGACACAAGUAUGCGACAGCGGUGCAGUGCCGCUGGAGAGGGCACUAUGCGCGAGCGGUGCUUGCCCCUCAGCGAAAGGCGCGCGCCACGGAGCGCGAGGCCUGCUUGCAGCAUCGUGCAGUCCUUCAUUGCGCCGCCACCCGGGUGCAGUCUCUCUACCGCAUGUACCGCGUUCGAAUCCAGCUGCUGCGGCUUGGCGUGCUGCUGCGGCCAACCUCAAUGCACCGCAUCGCUGCCGCUCGCCGCAUCCAGACGUGCUGGCGCGCCUGCGCUGCCCACCGGCGCGUAUUGCGGCUUCGCCUGCAGCGCAGCUACUCGCUCAAGCUGGCGCAAUCGCAGGAGGCGCUGCACGCCUACGCUACGCUCAUCCAAGGCGUUGUUCGAUCGUACCUCGUGCGCUGUGGCCGAGUGCCUCAACCUAAGCCGGCACCCGAGGCGCUCGCGCCUGUUGCGACGGUCACCAAACUGCUCAUUCCGCCGCCUCCUUCCAUCCAUGGCGCUUGUGCGGCUGCUGCGUCUCGCCCGACCCCACUCCACAGAGUUCCCUCCACCGAACAUAAUAUCGAGACUGCGCCGGUGUCGCCGUUGCUCACGAGGGCGCCAGUUACCGUCGAGCAGACCGUCGCCACGUUCAUCUACAGCAGCAACGGCGCCUCUGCAGUGGUGCGCAUCCAUCAAUGCGACUUUGAUGGCAGAUCCUCUGUCCACUCGCUCGUCUCCGCCGACCCCCUCAGUUUGCGCACCACGUCUAUGACGAAGAGUCGCUGCAACUCAGCCUCCCUCUCCCGCCUUACCAGCACCCCGGAUAAGCCGCUUAACUUGCUGCAGAGCGUCAGCACCGACGUCGUCGGGUCGCUGCGCAGCACACGGCUCCCGCCCUCCUGCCCACACGAAAGGGCGGCGGUAGACUCACAUCAGGUAGUAGGGUUAUCGUGCGAGACGGAACACUUGCCCGCCUCGACGAAGGACUCCGUCGCCCAAACCUCCGCCUAUUUGGCCGAUGCAAAGGCGUACCCGCAGACCACGACGGGGCUUUCCUCGGCACAGAGCAGUAUCGUCUGUUCCUUGCUCUGCCACCACACUCUGCAUGAGGUUGAGGCUGCGGUGCGCAUUCAAGCUUUAUGGCGCGGCUACCAUGUGCGUUGCACCAUCGAGUUCUACUACGAAGAGUACUCCGAAGAGAUCGAAGAGGAGGAGACUAAGGAGGACAACUAGUCCACCAGCACUGUGUUGCUGAGCGACAGCAGAGAGCGGACGGAACGUCGUUCGUGAUCACUGAUGCACACAGGCGUCUUCCCCUCCCCCAGUGACCUUCUCGUCUUUCUCUCUCUCGUGCGUGUGUGUCCCGGUCUGCGGGUCGAUAUGUAUGUGUGUAUGUGUAUCUCUCUGCCAGCAUGGCGUCUUUGAGCACGUGUUCGCCUUGUUCCUUGAUGGCUGUCGUGCCUGGAAUCUCGAUGUAGACUAGCAGGGUUGAGGGGCGGAGUUGUGUGGCGCCGCCAAGGGCGGCAACUCUGCCCCUCUGCUCCAUCUCCCUCUCUCUUUCUCAUGUCCUCCACGGCGCCUGCACCCCCUUGUACACCUUUUUUGUUAGCUCCUCCAUGUCCGUAUCCUGGUGAGGUGCCGCCGCCACGUGUGUGGUGGCAUGUGCUGUUCCCCCUCUCUCUGGAUGAGCACAUACGCGCACGUGCAUACACGCGUGCAUACAUACAGACAUGUACACUCCCUGUUCUCGCCCCCCCUCCUCCGCGCCACUCUCGAGUUCUUGUCUGUUUAAGUUCUACUCGGAUGGGAUGCGUGCAUCUCCUACGCG
This 6330-nucleotide unclassified non-coding RNA is filed under the name Leishmania donovani. Its description in RNAcentral is "gene:LdHU3.28.3790(CDS-product:IQ_calmodulin-bind ing_motif_containing_protein_putative)". The record is from RNAcentral. Lineage: Eukaryota; Euglenozoa; Kinetoplastea; Trypanosomatida; Trypanosomatidae.